GUGUUUGCACGAGGGAUACUGGGACCCAAGUGGCUACGGGAUCGUGGGACCAAGUGGCCAUGGGAUUAUAGAGCCAAGUGGCUAUGGGAUUCCCCACUUGGGACGGCCCUGGGGGAUGAUCUAGAGAGGAUACACUUCAUCCAUGUAAGAGGCAGAUCUGAGGUCCGGAGCGGGGAAAGUCAUUUACCUCCGAUCACAUAGACUUGACCUUGAGCCCUACAGGGGCCUCAGGGGCUUGGACUAGAAAAAGGGAGAAAGCCAUGGCUGGUUAAGGAUUGAGUGGCUGUGUGAGUAGAAAGGGUGGAGGUGGCCAGGGAGGCAAUGGUGAAGGGCCUAGAUGUGGUCCCACGUCCCCCCCACCCCUCUGGUGUUUUGGGGGCGGGGUUGUUAAAAGGUCUGGGAGAAAAAGACCAGCACUUAACCCAUUAGUGGCUGGAGCUGUGCGUCCGUGUCCAGCCCUCUGCAGCAUCCGGAAGGAGUCGGAGAGAAGCUUGUGGCAGGGAACAGAGGACAAACGGGACAUUGAAGUGACAGCCUAGUAGAGCAAAUGAGGCCAAAGUAGCAGAGGAAGGUCCACGUGGGGCUUCACCUGAGGGGACACUGGGUAGCCACCUGCCCUCCAGAGCCACCCGAGGGCUGAGGCUUGAGCAGUGCGGCCCGGUGACUAAUUAUCCACCCCAGCUUCCCUCUAGGUCAGGCUGGCCUCAUCCCCGAGACCCUCACCAGACCCUUCGCUGGUCCUAUUUGUGCCUGAGACAAUCUUUCGGAAAGCUCUGCUCUUGCGUUUGAGCUGCUCAUUCUAGAUCCUGAGGCUCCUGACUCCCUGACUCAUUUGGGACAUGCCUCUGCCACUCCUGGAUUUGGUGCUUGUUCUCAGCUAUGUGGAUUUCUCCCACCCUGGUCCCCGUCACUGUUUAAGCGCCCUCUACUGACAAAGCCUAGCAUUCCACCUGCUGGCAGAGGAGAACUGCUCCCAGGGUCCCGCACCGCCAUCACGAAGCUGGCCAAUGAGGGGGAGUCCUGGGCUGAGAGGCAACACAUUGACUAGUGGCACAGUGAACCAAAGAAUGGGCUCUCAUCAGACACCAAAUCUGCCAGGGCCUUGAUCUUGGACUUCCCAGCCUCUGGAACUAUGAGAGAGAAAUGCCUGUUGUUUGUUUUUCCAUCUGCAAAACUAAGACGACAAAUGAAACGGAAGGGCCAUUUGAAGAGCAGAGGACGGGGUGCAGAUGUGGUCCCUUCCUCCUUCCGUGGUCGUCCGUGAGAUUCAAGAAGGCAGCCACCUGCCACGUAGAGGGCACUCCGUUUCAGCAGCCACAUGUGGGAUUGCUUUGGUCCCGACGUGCAAACACGUUUCAGUCCGGCUUCUUGGGAGCUCACACGGAUACUUGGGUCUGGCAGAGUUAUUUUUGUGGGUUCAAGAGAGAAGAAAAUAGAGAGCAACAUCCUCGUGUUGACACGAAA
This is a long non-coding RNA of Herpailurus yagouaroundi (jaguarundi), 1464 nucleotides long. RefSeq lists it as uncharacterized. NCBI's taxonomy places the organism in Eukaryota, Metazoa, Chordata, Mammalia, Carnivora, Felidae. The transcript is spliced from 4 exons. The record is from RefSeq and is a predicted model, not a curated record.